Paramormyrops kingsleyae is the source of this 320-nucleotide long non-coding RNA. RefSeq lists it as uncharacterized. The record is from RefSeq and is a predicted model, not a curated record. NCBI's taxonomy places the organism in Eukaryota, Metazoa, Chordata, Actinopteri, Osteoglossiformes, Mormyridae.
UGGCUUUUCUUGUCUUCCUGUCAGUGAGCAGUUUGUAUUUCUUUGCGCACGUAUAGUGCAUUCUAGAAUAAACAAAUAGAAUUUAAAAUCUGCCUGUGCAAACAUAAAGCUGAAGGAAGUAACCAAUAUUCCCUGCUCAAACUUGCUGAGCCCUCCCUGCCAAGUCUCUCCGGGUAAAAGGGCCAAGGAGUGUUGGGUACAUGCUGGAACAACCAAAGAAGGUGACAAGAGGCUUCUCUGUGUUUCCAUCAAUGAAUCUGUUAAAUACACUCCAGCAGGAUUUAAUGCAGCCAGGUGGGACUGAAUGCACGACCUGGAAA